GCAGUGCACUCUGUCCCACGGUUUU
RNAcentral lists this non-coding RNA (25 nucleotides) under Mus musculus (house mouse). The record is from RNAcentral. Lineage: Eukaryota; Metazoa; Chordata; Mammalia; Rodentia; Muridae.